CUAAUACAUGCAAGCUAAAACAGUAAAUAAUAAAGCAAUACGAUAUGAGAGUAGCGUAAGGGUGCGUAACACGUAUGCAAUCUGCCCUGUACAGGAGGAUAGCUCGGCGAAAGCCGGAUUAAUACUCCGUAAUAUUGUGGAGUGGCAUCACACGAUUAUAAAAGUCGCAAGAUGGUACAGGAUGAGCAUGCGUCUGAUUAGCUAGUUGGUAGUGUAACGGACUACCAAGGCGAUGAUCAGUAGGGGAACUGAGAGGUUGAUCCCCCACACUGGCACUGAGAUACGGGCCAGACUCCUACGGGAGGCAGCAGUAGGGAAUAUUGGUCAAUGGAUGCAAGUCUGAACCAGCCAUGCCGCGUGCAGGAAGAAGGCCUUCUGGGUUGUAAACUGCUUUUGCCGGGGGAUAAAAUUCCCAUGCGUGGGACAUUGAAGGUACCCGGUGAAUAAGCCACGGCUAACUACGUGCCAGCAGCCGCGGUAAUACGUAGGUGGCAAGCGUUGUCCGGAUUUAUUGGGUUUAAAGGGUGCGUAGGCGGCCUAUUAAGUCAGUUCUGAAAUAUCCCGGCUUAACCGGGAGGGUGGGAUUGAUACUGAUGGGCUUGAGUGGAGUCGAGGUAGGCGGAAUUGACGGUGUAGCGGUGAAAUGCUUAGAUAUCGUCAAGAACACCGAUAGUGUAGACAGCUUACUAGACUUCAACUGACGCUGAGGCACGAAAGUGUGGGGAUCAAACAGGAUUAGAUACCCUGGUAGUCCACACUGUAAACGUUGAUUACUCGCUGUGUGCGAUAUACAGUACGCGGCUUAGCGAAAGCGAUAAGUAAUCCACCUGGGGAGUACGCCGGCAACGGUGAAACUCAAAGGAAUUGACGG
This 871-nucleotide ribosomal RNA is filed under the name uncultured bacterium. RNAcentral's name for it is "bacterial SSU rRNA". It matches the Rfam family "Bacterial small subunit ribosomal RNA", at positions 48 to 916 of the family's 1533-position model. The record is from RNAcentral.